Molecule: long non-coding RNA, 570 nt
Organism: Cyprinus carpio carpio
Lineage: Eukaryota; Metazoa; Chordata; Actinopteri; Cypriniformes; Cyprinidae
Source: Ensembl
UCCAACAUCACCCGCAAUGAGUGUGGAAAAACCAAACUGUGUUUGGACAACCCUAAAGGAUGUGAUCCUUCAGGCAGCUCUCAGUGUUUCUUCACCUCAGUACAGAUUAUCUUAACUACCUUCAACCUGACGGUUGAGCUCAGUGGCAACUCCAUCGGUUACAUUGCUUUAGCAGCUGGAGUGACAUCUAGUGUGGCUCAGGGCCUCAAUAUCAUCUUUGUCUGUGGCAAUAAUAAUGGCAGGUUCUUCUUCCGGACUGCAACACUCUUUAAUAAUACACUGCUGACAACAAAUGUACCCAAUGUAAACAAUAUCCAGGGUUCAAUACAACCAAGCUUGAUUCAGUGUGUUUUCAGCAUCCCCAUUGAUACAAACACCCUUAACUUCCUAAGCAAUGUCAAUGCCACAAAUGUCAACAUUAGCAACAUUGCUAAUUCCCAGCUGAAUGUUUUCCUUGACAUCUUGCAGGGUUCAACCAAUGGCUUGCAGAUACAGUAGUUUGGAAUGCAACUUCCAGGUUACUAAUCAAAUAAGCAAAUUUGUCACAUCAAACUCCCACAUCCAUGUGAA